This 1368-nucleotide small RNA is filed under the name Rattus norvegicus (Norway rat). Its description in RNAcentral is "uncharacterized LOC102549755". The record is from RNAcentral. Lineage: Eukaryota; Metazoa; Chordata; Mammalia; Rodentia; Muridae.
GAGAGGGAGAGAUAGGAAGGAGAAGAAGGAGACAAGGAAAUGGAGGAAGAGUUGGUAGAAGGAAGAUGAAACAGAACCAUGUGGCCUGGAGGACCACAAGUAACAAGGCAUCUCAUAGCUGGGGAAUAGAAUAGUGUAGUGGUAUAUCUGCCCAAUCUAGGCAUACAACUUAUAAACAUUAUAACUGAGUUGUGUGUUCUUUGCACAGGCUUAUUGGGGUUGGAGCUUGACCACAAUACCAUCAUAACUGUAAAUCAAGCUACAGUGUCACUAAAAGACAGAAAUCUUCAGCUGCCUUGUGUUGUGGGACCACCACUGUAUAAGCAAUCUGUCAUUAACCAAGGUGAUGUUACAAGGCCACUCAGGAACUUGGUGCGGGAAACCCGACCUUGAUACACAUGGCCUGAUCUCAGCAGUUUUCUGGAGCCUUGACAUAAACCUCUGAUCGAGACAGCCACCGAGAGCUAAGAAGACAAUCCUCUCUGAUACCUCAUUGUCCAGCUGUGCAUUAUUUCAUUACUAACUUGUAGGGAUUUUAUAGGUAUUUUUCAUUUUCCACACACUCCCAGCUGGCUCCCUUAAACUUGACUCUCUUCAUGCUUAUAAUUUAUAAGCGUGAAGGUAAAUAUGGUUUUUCAAACUAUGGAAAGGGAGAAAACAAUGAGCCAAAGAGAGGCUAGAAGGGGUCUUGUGGUGCCAAGAAGUACUAGUCUGCACUUUUACAUGUGAGUGUGGAGAAGAAUGGUCUCCAUGCUGGCAGACCGGUUUGCCGUUACUUUAAAGAUCCUCCCCGAGUUAAUAAUGAUGUUCAGUCUCUCACUGCUUCUGGGAUGCUCAUUCCCAGAAUGGCGGCGGCUUUUAGAAUACAGUCAUGAAUUGCUUGGUACUUUCUCCCAUGGCUAGUGGAGAAGUCUGUGUGCUCUCCCCUGGAACCUGGAGAGUCUGUGACUGACUGCCUCAGUCAGCGCAGUAAACCGCCAUGUACAGCGGCCUUUUUCUCUCGGGCCACCUGUGCUUAGAACUUAGUCACCGUGCUGCAUAGAAGCCCAGGGCGCCACAGAGAGAGGUCAUGUGAUGUUACGGCAGCCAAGACCAACGCCGAGACCAACAUCCCAGGCUAAGUUCACAGCCAAUUUACUAAGUUACUAAGUUACGGGUUACCAUUACUGCAUUAACAUUAACUGACCCUGUGUGCAAAAGACCCCUUAUAUAUUUCCAACUUUCAGAACUUCGUCAUCCCCGAGUCUUUGAGCGCUCCCAGCUGGGGCCACAAAUUGUAUGGAGCCAAGACAAACCAUCCCCGCAGUUCUUCUCUGAAUCCCUAACCCGCCCAGUCUGUGAGCAUAAUUAAAUGGCUGUUUUAGGCAA